CUACUUCCUGUCACCAGUAAGGUUUUCUGAAGCUUUCUUUCCACCAGGGAAGACUGCAAAGGCCAGAGAUCAUUUUCACAACUAAAGGUCGUCAUCUGGGCAAAUGAACCACUCUGACUUGGAGAUUAGGGGCUCAGACAGCCGUGGAUGAGAGUCCAGCUCUACUACUUAUUAGCCUUGAUUAGCCCACAGUGACUUUCCAAAACUUUGACCCCUCUGCCAGGACCUUCUCGACAUCCACCUCUAAUUCUCAGAAGGAGACCUUACUUCCUACAUCUGUGAGAAAACUGAGGACUGCACAUGUGAACCACCUUAACCUUCUGCCCCACCCCCCCCCAUUCAUUCCUUGACUCAUUUAACAAAUAUUUUUUCAACACCUGUUAUGUAACAAGCUCUAUGCGAGGUGCUGGGGAUGAAAUAAAUAACAAACACGCUCUACAUUCAUGAGGCUUACUGUCUGGUGAUGGAUAAAGCUGUAUAAAGAUGACUAAUAAGAGGUCUAACUAUCUUCAUGCUGCAAAACAACCCAAACUACUGCAUGCUCCAGUUGACUGUCACUGCCGAGACCAGCUUCUGAGUAAUUUCAGCCCAGGCAUCAGACUAGUGAGGGAAGGAGCUUCCAGGUGAUACCACCUCCCAGCCAUACUGUGAGAGGGAUGGGAAAGACUGGUGCUUGGGGUGGCCAUCUGACCCCUGAUGGACAGGAGACCAGGACAAGCCCACUGGAUGAGCCGGAGGGGUCCAGGAGGAGGGAGUUGAGAGCUCCUGCUAGGGUUGACACAUUCUGGUAAGGAGUUCAUCUGCUGUCCACCAGGGGAGACAAUAAAAAGGUCAACACAGCUCCCACCUCGAAGCAGCUGCCAGUUUAUUACAUGAAGUGUCAGGCUGUGGACUGCAGGCAUGCCAUUUUGUCUUCAAGAACAGGUGGGAUCAGAGGUCCUUGACUGAUCAGAAUACACUGCUUUCAACCAAAACAUUAUUAGCAUUGAUUUCUUAAAAAAUAAUAGCAAAGUAGAAAACCUUUAGCUGGUCUGUUUCUUCGUGUCCUGAAACUUCCUUAUUAGUGUAAUUAAAAGUACUAAGUUAAGAAUUAGCCUGGGAAAGGACCCUACUUAUGGCAAAGUCUUCAGAAAAGUAAAGAGCAAAACCAGAUAUGUGCCUUGUUCUCAUGGUGCUGACAGUAUAGCGAAGAGGAAAUACUUUAAUCAUACGAAUAAAUAAAUGUAAAGUUAGAACUGUGCAACUGCUACGAAGAGAGGAUAUAGCACUAAAAAGCCCUAGAAUGGGAGAUUUGACCUGGCCAGGGAUGUCAAGAAAUGCUUCCAAGAGGAAGUGGUUCUUGAGCUGAGAUUGGAAUUAACUGGGCAAAGGGCUCCGGGUAGAGAAAACAGCAUGCUCAGGUACUAUGUUGGAGGACAUAUGGGGAGUUCGAGAAACUCCAAAACUGCCAGUGUGACUGAAGCAAAGGGAGCUAGAGUGUUAGGAGCUUAUAAUCCCCACUAAAGGAUUUUGUCUUAGCCCAAGAGCAAAGAGAUACCAGUGGAGACUGCUAAGCAGGAGGACAACAUGACACAUUUGUGCUUUUAAAGGUUUACUCUAGCUUUAGUGUGGAGAGUGGCUGGGAGAAGUCAGAACAGAUACAAGUGCACAGUUUGGGUGCCAGAACAGUCUUCCAGGAUGUGAAGAUGUGAUACUGAACUUGGACAGUGGUAGUAGAAAUGGAGAGAUGUGGAUAGACUCAGAUAUUUAAAUACAUAUACAAAUGAUGAGAGCAUUAUAAAAAGAGGAUCGUGGAAGCCAAGAUUCUGUGCUGCAAUGGAUCAAAGUAUUUUCUGUGGUUUGAGAUUUUCUAAGAUACUCUCUCUUUACAGAAUUCCCGGGCACACGAAUGAUUCCAGGGUUCCUCCAGCACUUUGGUAUUACUUGAAAGCAAUCUUAAGGGAUCUAGAAUGAACCAACGCCCAAAAAGGAUCCCUUAGCAGCGGUGAUAUCAAAGAAACACUUUUGAAGAACUAAUUUUCCACCCAGAUUUCCCCAAUUUUAAAAGCAAUGGGCAAAGCCUUCUCCACUCCUAAACUUCCUGGAACUGUCUUUUGGCUAUAUCAGGCCCCUGAAGUUAGAGUCUUUGAAAGACUCCAAACUCCAAAUUCUAUGCUUUUAUUCUCAGGCUCCUCAUAAUUCUACAGCACACCAGACUGCUGACCACUCUCCGUACCACUUUUAAAUUAUUUCUUCCCACAGCUUUCUUAACAAUGAACCUUUGAAAUCUUUUUAGUUUUCCAUUUAUUUUGCUACCUUUCCUCUGUCCUAGCUCUAAAAUGAAGAUCCUCUAAGGUUCUACAGUUUACUUCUUGUAUUCUCCUUUGUAAGUCAUCUCCAAGACGAUGUCCAAAUCCAUCACCAUUAAAAUUAAUAGUUUCCUCACCCACAACACUUAAUAUUUUAAAAAAAAUACUUUUCAUUGUAUUAUAAUUACUUGAUACAUACAUAUUUGCUCUGUGAGUUCCUUAUUCAUCAUAUUAGUGCCUGACAAUAAAUGUGUGCUGGAUUGAGCUGAA
Molecule: long non-coding RNA, 2558 nt
Filed under: Homo sapiens (human)
Lineage: Eukaryota; Metazoa; Chordata; Mammalia; Primates; Hominidae
Description: HSALNT0369931
Source: RNAcentral